This 1355-nucleotide ribosomal RNA is filed under the name uncultured bacterium. RNAcentral's name for it is "bacterial SSU rRNA". It matches the Rfam family "Bacterial small subunit ribosomal RNA", at positions 26 to 1381 of the family's 1533-position model. The record is from RNAcentral.
GAAGAAACGCUAGCGACAGGCUUAACACAUGCAAGUUCGAGGGGCAGCACAGGUAGCAAUACCGGGCGGCGACCGGCGCACGGGUGAGUAACGCGUAUGCAACUUGCCUAUCAGAGGGGGAUAACCCGGCGAAAGUCGGACUAAUACCGCAUGAAGCAGGGGCCCCGCAUGGGGAUAUUUGCUAAAGAUUCAUCGCUGAUAGAUAGGCAUGCGUUCCAUUAGGCAGUUGGCGGGGUAACGGCCCACCAAACCGACGAUGGAUAGGGGUUCUGAGAGGAAGGUCCCCCACAUUGGUACUGAGACACGGACCAAACUCCUACGGGAGGCAGCAGUGAGGAAUAUUGGUCAAUGGGCGUAAGCCUGAACCAGCCAAGUCGCGUGAGGGAUGAAGGUUCUAUGGAUCGUAAACCUCUUUUAUAAGGGAAUAAAGUGCGGGACGUGUCCCGUUUUGUAUGUACCUUAUGAAUAAGGAUCGGCUAACUCCGUGCCAGCAGCCGCGGUAAUACGGAGGAUCCGAGCGUUAUCCGGAUUUAUUGGGUUUAAAGGGUGCGUAGGCGGCCUUUUAAGUCAGCGGUGAAAGUCUGUGGCUCAACCAUAGAAUUGCCGUUGAAACUGGGAGGCUUGAGUAUGUUUGAGGCAGGCGGAAUGCGUGGUGUAGCGGUGAAAUGCUUAGAUAUCACGCAGAACCCCGAUUGCGAAGGCAGCCUGCCAAGCCAUUACUGACGCUGAUGCACGAAGGCGUGGGGAUCAAACAGGAUUAGAUACCCUGGUAGUCCACGCAGUAAACGAUGAUCACUAGCUGUUUGCGAUACACUGUAAGCGGCACAGCGAAAGCGUUAAGUGAUCCACCUGGGGAGUACGCCGGCAACGGUGAAACUCAAAGGAAUUGACGGGGGCCCGCACAAGCGGAGGAACAUGUGGUUUAAUUCGAUGAUACGCGAGGAACCUUACCCGGGCUUGAAUUGCAACUGAAUGAUGUGGAGACAUGUCAGCCGCAAGGCAGUUGUGAAGGUGCUGCAUGGUUGUCGUCAGCUCGUGCCGUGAGGUGUCGGCUUAAGUGCCAUAACGAGCGCAACCCUUAUCGAUAGUUACCAUCAGGUUAUGCUGGGGACUCUGUCGAGACUGCCGUCGUAAGAUGUGAGGAAGGUGGGGAUGACGUCAAAUCAGCACGGCCCUUACGUCCGGGGCUACACACGUGUUACAAUGGGGGGUACAGAAGGCAGCUACACGGCGACGUGAUGCUAAUCCCGAAAGCCUCUCUCAGUUCGGAUUGGAGUCUGCAACCCGACUCCAUGAAGCUGGAUUCGCUAGUAAUCGCGCAUCAGCCACGGCGCGGUGAAUACGUUCCCGGGCCU